This 394-nucleotide ribosomal RNA is filed under the name uncultured organism. Its description in RNAcentral is "bacterial SSU rRNA". It matches the Rfam family "Bacterial small subunit ribosomal RNA", at positions 45 to 433 of the family's 1533-position model. The record is from RNAcentral.
UGCCUAACACAUGCAAGUCGAACGGCAGCACAAAAGGGGUAACCCUUUGGGUGGCGAGUGGCGGACGGGUGCGUAACGCGUAGGAAUCUACCUUUUAGUGGGGGAUAACCCGAGGAAACUCGGGCUAAUACCGCAUAUUCUCUAAGGAGGAAAGCAGGGGACCUUUCGGGGCCUUGCGCUAAUAGAUGAGCCUGCGUCGGAUUAGCUAGUUGGUGAGGUAAUGGCUCACCAAGGCGAUGAUCCGUAGCUGGUUCGAGAGGACGACCAGCCACACUGGGACUGAGACACGGCCCAGACUCCUACGGGAGGCAGCAGUGGGGAAUAUUGGACAAUGGGGGAAACCCUGAUCCAGCAAUGCCGCGUGUGUGAAGAAGGCCUUCGGGUUGUAAAGCUC